AGUGAACGCUGGCGGUAGGCCUAACACAUGCAAGUCGAACGGCAGCACAGUAAGAGCUUGCUCUUACGGGUGGCGAGUGGCGGACGGGUGAGGAAUACAUCGGAAUCUACUUUUUCGUGGGGGAUAACGUAGGGAAACUUACGCUAAUACCGCAUACGACCUACGGGUGAAAGCAGUGGAUCUUCGGACCUUGCGCGAUUGAAUGAGCCGAUGUCGGAUUAGCUAGUUGGCGGGGUAAAGGCCCACCAAGGCGACGAUCCGUAGCUGGUCUGAGAGGAUGAUCGGCCACACUGGAACUGAGACACGGUCCAGACUCCUACGGGAGGCAGCAGUGGGGAAUCUUGGACAAUGGGCGCAAGCCUGAUCCAGCCAUACCGCGUGGGUGAAGAAGGCCUUCGGGUUGUAAAGCCCUUUUGUUGGGAAAGAAAAGCAGCAGGUUAAUCCCCCGCUGUUCUGACGGUACCCAAAGAAUAAGCACCGGCUAACUUCGUG
Molecule: ribosomal RNA, 492 nt
Filed under: uncultured bacterium
Lineage: Bacteria
Description: partial 16S ribosomal RNA
Rfam family: Bacterial small subunit ribosomal RNA
Source: RNAcentral